RNAcentral lists this ribosomal RNA (349 nucleotides) under uncultured bacterium. RNAcentral's name for it is "bacterial SSU rRNA". It matches the Rfam family "Bacterial small subunit ribosomal RNA", at positions 8 to 350 of the family's 1533-position model. The record is from RNAcentral.
AGAGUUUGAUCCUGGCUCAGGAUGAACGCUAGCUACAGGCUUAACACAUGCAAGUCGAGGGGAAACGACAUCGAAAGCUUGCUUUUGAUGGGCGUCGACCGGCGCACGGGUGAGUAACGCGUAUCCAACCUGCCCACCACUUGGGGAUAACCUUGCGAAAGUAAGACUAAUACCCAAUGACGUCUCUAGAAGACAUCUGAAAGAGAUUAAGAUUUAUCGGUGAUGGAUGGGGAUGCGUCUGAUUAGCUUGUUGGCGGGGUAACGGCCGCCAAGGCUACGAUCAGUAGGGGUCUGAGAGGAAGGUCCCCCANAUUGGAACUGAGACACGGUCCAACUCCGUACGGGAGCA